AUAUACAGAUUUGGAGUAACUGUAAUCGUUGUGCAUUAGCCUUUGGAAAUGGCGGACAGAAGAGAGCUAUGUGUGGGAGGGAAACCCAUUUCAUCCUUACGUGUUGUUGAUUUGAAAGUGGAACUUGAAAAAAGGAGUUUGCCGAAAUCGGGAAGUAAAAAGGAUUUGCUAGAGCGACUCAGAUUGCAUCUGCAAUUGGAGGAAGACCGUGAGGCUGCCUUGCGUGAUGAAGAACAUGUUCCCAAUCUCUCGCUAUGCAAUGAAACUGAAAAUGAUUUCAUUCGUGAAUACUUGGCUGCUCAGCAGGCCAGGUUCCAAGUACAAAGAGAAGCCAAGAAACAGUAUGAAGAAAAGAAGCGAGAAUCCGAGGCCAGCGCAGAAGAAACUACCCAAGACGAGGAUGAGGCAUCUGAUGUAUCCCCAACCAAAAAAUCUCCCAGGAAAGCUAUGAGGCCAAAGAAAAAGGAGGAUUCGACAUCUACGCCAAAGGCGCAUAAAUCUUCGCUGGACUUUCAGACACCGGAUUCAAUGCCUUACUCUACGCCACCGCAAGAAAAGCGGGAUGAAGACGGAGCUAGGCAAGAGAGUGAUACGACAGGGGAGGAGGAAGAAUGUAUGACUCCUCAGACUCGCAAACAUAAACUGCUUAAAUAUGUGCAGCAACCCUCUGCCAGCAAGGAUUCGAAUCCUGGUAAGUCAGAUACUGGGCAAUUUUCAAUCGCAGACCAUGUGGAAAAGUAUCAGGGAAGUGGGACAUCGGAGAGACGAGAUCCGCCGCCUUCUAGUCUCUAUGGCGAAGCCAUUAAUCUGAAAGUGGAAAGCAAGAAGGAAACUUCACCUGUUAAAAGUGAAUCUUCGCCUGUUAAAAAAGAAUCUUCCCUGGUAAAGAAAGAAUCUUCGUCCGUAAAAACUGAAACUCCUUCGCCGGCUAAGAAAGAUGAGAGGGCAUUACGUGGUCAAAAGACACGUAGCGUUAAAGCACCACCCGAGGAAGUUUCUGAUGAGGACGAGGAAGAAGAAGAAGAAGAAAAAGGAGUUUUCCCACGUCUUGUCGAAGUAUGGUCAGAAAAAGAAAGAGAGGAAGAAGCCGCAGCUUCAGCUGGAAAAUCUGUAGUACAAAAGUCGGAAAAACUUACAGAAGACAUUAAAUCGAUGGAAACCAAAGAGGACGGCAUCAAACCUCACGUUAUUAACGUGAGUUCCUCUGAAGAAUGUAAAAAAGAAUCUCCAACGGAUACAGCACCGUGUGAGACAGACCCUUUAGAGGAUACCACCACAGCGACUACCGCACAAACAGUUUGCGUAAAAGAUGAAGCAAAACCGGUAAAAAAUGAAAGCGAAACAGAAACACCAGCAGCAGACGUAGCUGUUGAGAAAAAGAACGAUCAGGAAAACUCAGAAGAAAUGAUAGUUGACGACUCCAAAGCAGAUGAUGCGGUAGACAUCACCAAGGAAACCAAGAUAGAAGAGGCGGGUAAAAUUUCAGAACAGGCGGUUGUAGAAAACAAAGUAGAAGACACAAAGACAGAGGAACUGGCCAUACCUACGACGGUUGAGGUGGCUGAAACCGAAACUGUCGUUCAAAGUGAACCUGCCGCCAUCGUUGUUGAAUCGGCUUCUUCUCCCUCUAUUGAUGAGUCGACCUCUGUUCCAGCUAUUGUUGAUGCGGCUUCUGUUCCCGCUAUUGUUGAAUCGGCUUCUGUUCCCGCUAUUGUUGAAUCGGCUUCUGUUCCCGCUAUUGUUGAAUCAGCUUCAGUCCCCACCGUUGUGGAAUCAGCUUCUGUUCCCGCUGUUGUUGAAUCAGCGUCUAUCUCAGACGUUGUUGAAUCUGCAUCAACCGCCGAUAUCGUUGAAGAUGCUGACAAAACUGUGUUGCCUGUCACAAUGGAACUACCGGUUGCAGAUCCCGUAUCUGUAGAAAAAACAAGUGUUCCUCCAGAAACUUCCGUUGAAGAUACUCCUAUCAGUGAAUUGGAGCCCGAGACCAAAGUGACGUCAGCUAAUGACCCGGAGUCUGUGAAAAAUGAUGAGACCGAAGUGGAUAAGACUGACGACGUCAGCAAACCAAAGGAUUCGGAGAAGGACAAUAUCGAUUCAUCACCAGAUAAGGUUGAAACCACAAUGGCUGUCGAGAACGAAUCUCCAUCGUUGAUCAAAUCCGAUGUAUGUGAGGAACCCGUUGCUAAAGUAGAGGAAGUGUCUGAGGAGCAACCAACUGAAGACAAUGAAGAAGAUGAACUUCAGAUGGACACCACUGAAAUAAUUGAUGACAGCUUAAAGCUUACAGCACCUGAAACAGAAGAUGUUGCAGAUAAUUGUGAACAAAGACAUAGAAAAUCAAGCUCCAAAUCCCCCAGUCCCAGGCAAAGUAGUCCAGAAAGGGAGAUAAACAGAAAAAGAAGCUUAUCACCUCAUGAUAAAAAGCAGCAAUCUGAUGCAGCACCUCAAAAUGAAACAACAAAAGGAGAUACAGUUAGAAAAUGGAAGAUCAGGAAACAGCUUCCUAGUGCUGAAGCAGACACAGCAGAAACUGAAGCGCCCAAGAAACGAAGAUGGGGAACUAGCCAGCUUCUGCCUACUAAGAAACCUGCCUUGGUUAUUUCUACAGAUUCUCUGAAGACACUUGUGCCAGAUGCUAAACCUCUGUCAGCUGAAGAAGUAAGGCUUGGCAGCCCCAAUUUUCAACCACCAGUAAAACCCACUGUUAACCAGACACCAGAAAGUGAAGACCAUCAGUUACCAGCUGCCGAUAAAAUUGCCAAAGUGGAGAACGUAAGGCGAGUAGCGGUAGAGAUGGCGGUCGAAGCCUUCGCCCCGGCUAAACCUGAGGCUGUCAUGGCGGCUGCUGCUCCAUUACUGGAAGCUACUAGCCCAGCUCAGCAGCCUCGCUCAUCCGUCCUUAAUGUCUCUAAUUUGGUCAGACCGUUCACUAUUAAUCAGCUGAAGGAGUUGCUUGCUCGUACCGGACACCUUGUCGAGGGAAAGUUUUGGAUUGAUAGAGUAAAAUCCUCGUGUUUGGUCCAGUAUGCAACAGAAGACGAAGCUGAAGAAACUCGGGCUGCCUUACAUGGAAUCCAUUGGCCUACAUCAAAUCCCAAAACUCUUCUAGUUGACUACUCAACUGUAGAAGAUUUAGAGAAUCGCAUGUCGGGCAAAGAAUUAACCAACCCACCCGUAGCGAAAAUUGAACCAAUUAUGCGAACGGCUACAGCAACUGUUCACCCCCUCGAAACAAAGCGAGACAAAGCUGAAAAAGUGCGCGAAUGGGAUUUGGGCAAAACUGGUGACCAAGGAUUCGAAAAAGAGCAAGCUAUUAAAGGAGCACAUCUUAUUGGAGAAGACGAAGAAGUCAAACCCAAAGACGAAACGCCUGCAAAACUGCUGGAUGAUUUGUUCCGCAAGACAAAGGCGACUCCUUUCAUUUAUUGGUUGCCUCUGACAGCAAGUCAGAUCGCAGAAAAGGAGGAAAUGCGCCGGCAAAGGCUUGCUGAAAGAGAAACGCGUUUGAAAGAAGUUCAACAACGCAGAGACGAAGAGCUGCAGCAGCGACAGCGUGAGAGAGAGAAACAGCGUGAAAACGAGCGUGAAAGGCAGCGCGCGCGUGAAAAGGAACGCGAGAAAGAACGCCAACGCUCUCGCAAGCGCAGCCGAUCGUCGUCUAGAAGCUCUUCGAGCACUACCUCAUCAAGUCCAAAUAAGAGAAGACACAGCAAAACGCCUCCGCGCAAGAGAUAAAGAUGACGAAUGUUUAACAAUCUGCAGUCACUACACUGGUUGGUUCGGGGAAGAGCACGAUAGGCAGGAACCAAUCAGCAGCAAGAUGACUACCACUUCUCUUGAAUUGGGAAACGAGUUCUCGAAUUGUCUAUCGUAGCGAGCCAUCCAAUCUAAACUCUCUGAACGGGAAUUUUAUAUCUUUCAGCAGCCGUUCAACUUGUGUGUGUUAACCCCUCAUUGUCAACGAGGAUCUUCGAUUGAUUAUGGAAAAGGCAGAAGAUGUCACGAACAUUACAAAAAGAACCUAUGCGAAGAUUUCCUUUAGUUUGAAAUAUGGGCACUCGGAAAAGUACCUUGAAAUGUUGUCACCAGGUUGCAUUCUGGUGUCAACCGUCACACAUGACACAUUCAACCCAAGUGUUCUGUUACGGGUUGAAUUAUGCCUGUUUAUCCUCCUCUCUGUAAUUGUCAGACUAUCACACCAUAAGUAAGUUCCGACUGGACUUCUAAUUACAAAAUGUGGUUCGAUUGGCUGGCGUACAAAUUCCAAUCGGUUAAAAAGGCAUCCUACACUGUAUUACGUAAAUACAAAGUAAUGAACUCUA
RNAcentral lists this unclassified non-coding RNA (4322 nucleotides) under Daphnia magna. Its description in RNAcentral is "apoptotic chromatin condensation inducer in the nucleus, transcript variant X6". Lineage: Eukaryota; Metazoa; Arthropoda; Branchiopoda; Diplostraca; Daphniidae. The record is from RNAcentral.